CAUGCAUCUGGUUAAAUGACAAAUCUGUAAGAAGCUGAUGACGCCACAUCAAGUGGAUGCAGUCAGGUGUCUUCGACCAGGGGGAACAGAACAGACUUGGAGAGAAGAACUACAACCAGCGAAUCUGUGCUGAAAAGACCAAAUCAAAAGCAGGAAACAAGUGCAGAGAUUAGCCCCAGUGAGCAGCUGAAGACUUCACACCAAGGAGACAAAAUGUCUGGUGCAAGGUAAAG
Long non-coding RNA from Seriola dumerili (greater amberjack), 233 nucleotides. RefSeq lists it as uncharacterized. The record is from RefSeq and is a predicted model, not a curated record. The transcript is spliced from 3 exons. NCBI's taxonomy places the organism in Eukaryota, Metazoa, Chordata, Actinopteri, Carangiformes, Carangidae.